GGGUCCUUAGCUCAAUGGUAGAGCAUUUCACAUGAAGAUCAAGAGGUCGCUAGUUCAAAUUUGUUAGGGCCCU
Molecule: transfer RNA, 73 nt
Filed under: Capsicum annuum
Lineage: Eukaryota; Viridiplantae; Streptophyta; Magnoliopsida; Solanales; Solanaceae
Rfam family: tRNA
About the family: Transfer RNA (tRNA) molecules are approximately 80 nucleotides in length. Their secondary structure includes four short double-helical elements and three loops (D, anti-codon, and T loops).
Source: Rfam by way of RNAcentral